RNAcentral lists this ribosomal RNA (253 nucleotides) under uncultured bacterium. RNAcentral describes it as "partial 16S ribosomal RNA". It matches the Rfam family "Bacterial small subunit ribosomal RNA", at positions 524 to 776 of the family's 1533-position model. The record is from RNAcentral.
UACGGAGGGAGCUAGCGUUGUUCGGAAUUACUGGGCGUAAAGCGCACGUAGGCGGCGAUUUAAGUCAGAGGUGAAAGCCCGGGGCUCAACCCCGGAAUAGCCUUUGAGACUGGAUUGCUUGAAUCUUGGAGAGGUGAGUGGAAUUCCGAGUGUAGAGGUGAAAUUCGUAGAUAUUCGGAAGAACACCAGUGGCGAAGGCGGCCAUCUGGGACAACACUGACGCUGAGGCACGAAAGCGUGGGGAGCAAACAGG